This 83-nucleotide non-coding RNA is filed under the name bovine gut metagenome. RNAcentral describes it as "Cyclic di-GMP-I riboswitch". It matches the Rfam family "c-di-GMP-I riboswitch aptamer". From Rfam's summary of the family: GEMM was predicted in a large-scale screen for bacterial structured RNA regulatory elements. Genes associated with GEMM are involved in a diverse array of functions, including chemotaxis regulation, signal transduction, secretion and chitin. The record is from RNAcentral.
AAAAAUAGCAAAGCAGUCGAAAGGCUGUGACGCAAAGCUACAGGGCCUGAAACCGGGUAACCGGCUAUGGUAGCCAGCUGCCA